RNAcentral lists this long non-coding RNA (3432 nucleotides) under Homo sapiens (human). RNAcentral's name for it is "HSALNT0290845". Lineage: Eukaryota; Metazoa; Chordata; Mammalia; Primates; Hominidae. The record is from RNAcentral.
CCCGUCUCCCUCUCCCUCUCCCGUCUCCCUCUCCCUCUCAUGCCGAGCCAAAGCUGGACGGUACUGCUGCCAUCUCGGCUCACUGCAACCUCCCUGCCUGAUUCUCCUGCCUCAGCCUGCCGAGUGCCUGCGAUUGCAGGCGCGCGCCGCCACGCCUGACUGGUUUUCGUUUUUUUUUGGUGGAGAUGGGGUUUCGCUGUGUUGGCCGGGCUGGUCUCCAGCUCCUAACCGCGAGUGAUCCGCCAGCCUCGGCCUCCCGAGGUGCCGGGAUUGCAGAUGGAGUCUCGUUCACUCAGUGCUCAAUGGUGCCCAGGCUGGAGUGCAGUGGCGUGAUCUCGGCUCGCUACAACCACCUCCCAGCCGCCUGCCUUGGCCUCCCAAAGAGCCGAGAUUGCAGCCUCUGCCCGGCCGCCACCCCGUCUGGGAAGUGAGGAGCGUCUCUGCUUGGCCACCCAUCGUCUGGGAUGUGAGGAGCCCCUCUGCCUGGCUGCCCAGUGUGGAAAGUGAGGAGCGUCUCUGCCCGGCCGCCAUCCCAUCUAGGAAGCGAGAAGCGCCUCUUCCCCGCCGCCAUCCCAUCUAGGAAGUGAGGAGCGUCUCUGCCCGGCCGCCCAUCGUCUGAGAUGUGGGGAGCACCUCUGCCCCACCGCCCUGUCUGGGAUGUGAGGAGCGCCUCUGCUGGGCCGCAACCCUGUCUGGGAGGUGAGGAGUGUCUCUGCCCGGCCGCUCCGUCUGAGAAGUGAGGAAACCCUCUGCCUGGCAACCGCCCCGUCUGAGAAGUGAGGAGCCCCUCCGUCUGGCAACCACCCCGUCUGGGAAGUGAGGAGCGUCUCCGCCCGGCAGCCACCCCGUCCGGGAGGGAGGUGGGGGGGGUCAGCCCCCUGCCCGGCCAGCCGCCCCGUCCGGGAGGUGAGGGGCUCCUCUGCCCGGCCGCCCCUACUGGGAAGUGAGGAGCCCCUCUGCCCGGCCAGCCGCCCCGUCCGGGAGGGAGGCGGGGGGGGGGGGGGGGGGUCGGCCAGCCGCCCCGGCCGGGAGGUGAGGGGCUCCUCUGCCCGGCCGCCCCUACUGGGAAGUGAGGAGCCCCUCUGCCCGGCCAGUCGCCCCGUCCAGGAGGGAGGUGGGGGGGUCAACCCCCCGCCCGGCCAGCCGCCCAGUCCGGGAGGGAGGUGGGGGGUCAGCCCCCCGCCUGGCCAGCCGCCCCGUCCGGGAGGUGAGGGGCGCCUCUGCCCGGCCGCCCCUACUGGGAAGUGAGGAGCCCCUCUGCCCGGCCAGCCGCCCCGCCCAGGAGGGAGGUGGGGGGGUCAGCCCCCUGCCCGGCCAGCCGCCCCGUCCGGGAGGGAGGUGGGGGGAUCAGCCCCCUGCCUGGCCAGCCGCCCCGUCCGGGAGGUGAGGGGCGCCUCUGCCCGGCCGCCCCUACUGGGAAGUGAGGACCCCUCUGCCCAGCCAGCCGCCCCGUCCGGGAGGGAGGUGGGGGGGGUCAGCCCCCCGCCCGGCCAGCCGCCCCGUCCGGGAGGGAGGUGGGGGGAUCAGCCCCCUGCCUGGCCAGCCGCCCCGUCCGGGAGGUGAGGGGCGCCUCUGCCCGGCCGCCCCUACUGGGAAGUGAGGACCCCUCUGCCCGGCCAGCCGCCCCGUCCGGGAGGGAGGUGGGGGGAACAGCCCCCCGCCCGGCCAGCCGCCCUAUCCAGGAGGUGAGGGGCGCCUCUGCCCGGCCGCCCCUACUGGGAAGUGAGGAGCCCCUCUGCCUGGCCAGCCGCCCCGUCCGGGAGGGCGGUGGGGGGGUCAGCCCCCCGCCCGGCCAGCCGCCCCAUCUGGGAGGUGAGGGGCACUUCUGCCGGGCCGCCCCUACUGGGAAGUGAGGAGCCCCUCUGCCCGGCCACGACCCCGUCUGGGAGGUGUGCCCAGCGGCUCAUUGGGGAUGGGCCAUGAUGACAAUGGCGGUUUUGUGGAAUAGAAAGGCGGGAAGGGUGGGGAAAAAAUUGAGAAAUCGGAUGGUUGCUGGGUCUGUGUGGAUAGAAGUAGACAUGGGAGACUUUUCAUUUUGUUCUGUACUAAGAAAAAUUCUUCUGCCUUGGGAUCCUGUUGAUCUGUGACCUUAUCCCCAACCCUGUGCUCUCUGAGACAUGUGCUGUGUCCACUCAGGGUUAAAUGGAUUAAGGGCGGUGCAAGAUGUGCUUUGUUAAACAGAUGCUUGAAGGCAGCAUGCUCGUUAAGAGUCAUCACCACUCCCUAAUCUUAAGUACCCAGGGACACAAACACUGCGGAAGGCAGCAGGGUCCUCUGCCUAGGAAAACCAGAGACCUUUGUUCACUUGUUUAUCUGCUGACCUUCCCUCCACUAUUGUCCUAUGACCCUGCCAAAUCCCCCUCUGCGAGAAACACCCAAGAAUGAUCAAUAAAAAUAAAAAAUAAAAAAAAUAAAAAAUAAAAAAAUAAAAAAUAAAACGUUACUGCUCAAAAGAAAAAAAAAAUAAAAAAUAAAAAAAAUAAAAAAUCAAAAACAUAAAAUAAUAAACAUAAAUUUUUAUUAAUUAUAUUCAGGCCAGCAAUAAUGCAUAUAGUUAGCUGAAAUGUAAAGUUUAUAAAUUAACAGGAGAAUACAAUGUGAGAAACAGCUAGGUCAGUAAGAAUUCCAGGAAACGAUGAAACACUUUCUAUGGGUAUAUUUAAGAGGAAAAAAGAGAAAAGGAGAGAGCAGAAUCUCAAGGUUGUAAAACAAGAGUUAAUAUGCUUCUUAUUAAAGGCAGUGAAUGCAUGGCCGGGCAUGGUGCUUCACACCUGUCAUCUCAGUACUUUGGCAAGCCAAGGCAGGUAGAUCACCUGAGGUCAGCAGUUCAAGACCAGCCUGGCCAACAUGAUGAGACCUCGUAUCUACUAAAAAUACAAAACUUAGCCAGGCAUGGUGGUGCACGCCUGUAGUCCCAGCUACGCAGGAGGCUGAGGUAGGAGAAUCACUUGAACCCGGGAGGUGGAGGUUGCAGUGAGCCGAGAUCGUGCCACUGCACUCCAGCCUGGGUGACAGAGCAAGACUCUUAAACAAAACAAACAAAAAACCAAAAAAAUAAAAGUAGUGAAUGCAGAACAAGAACAUAUUAGAGUACAAGGACUUGUUCUUUGAUCAGAUUACAAUGAAUGGAAUCAGUCUGUGGGGAAGAUAAUGUUGCCUGAAUUCAAACAUUGAAUUAUUGUCUCAAAUGCUAUUUGAGUGUUUUGACAAGUUUUUGAGCAAAUGUUUAACCUUAGACCUGCUCUAAAUUAAUGUUUUUCCUGAAUUAUAUAUAUAAAAAUCAAAUAUCCUAAAUUUACAAGGUUUAUAACAUAGUAUUCGUCAGUGCAAGACACAGUGGUUCACGCCUGUAAUCUCAGCACUUUGGGAGGCCAAGCUGGGUGGAUUGCUUGAGUCCAGGAGGUCAAGACCAGCCUGGGCAAUGUGGUGAGA